UACGGGGGGGGCAAGCGUUGUUCGGAAUUACUGGGCGUAAAGGGCGCGUAGGCGGCCUGCUAAGUCGGAUGUGAAAUCCCUCGGCUCAACCGAGGAACUGCAUCCGAUACUGGCGGGCUUGAAUCCGGGAGAGGGAUGUGGAAUUCCAGGUGUAGCGGUGAAAUGCGUAGAUAUCUGGAGGAACACCGGUGGCGAAGGCGGCAUCCUGGACCGGUCUUGACGCUGAGGCGCGAUAGCUAGGGGAGCAAGCGGG
Molecule: ribosomal RNA, 253 nt
Filed under: uncultured bacterium
Lineage: Bacteria
Description: partial 16S ribosomal RNA
Rfam family: Bacterial small subunit ribosomal RNA
Source: RNAcentral